Molecule: long non-coding RNA, 8112 nt
Filed under: Homo sapiens (human)
Lineage: Eukaryota; Metazoa; Chordata; Mammalia; Primates; Hominidae
Description: non-protein coding lnc-NTSR2-2:5
Source: RNAcentral
AGGGCCUGCUGGCCGGCCCUGCCCGCUCACCCCUGGCCGCCUAUCUUAGCGUUCCUGGGGGUGGGGCCCCUUAGGCCGCCUUUCUGAUUUUCCUUUCCAGAGCCAAACUCGUGUGUUUCUUCAACACUCUGACUUGACCUAUGCCGAUGACUGGGGGAGUGAGGACGGAGGGGUGCAGAGAAAAGGCAGCCAGGCGCAAUCGCGUUGACCUAUCGCCAUCUCUUCUUAGCUUCUCCACGCCGGGCCACCCCUGUCCUUCAUCCUGAUGGUGACAGCCUCCACUCCCGCCUCUGCCAAGCGGUGGUCCAGGUGCGGAACGGUGGCUCUGAACAGGAGGGACAGGCAGCUCCCUGCGCCUCUCCAGCCGGGAGGCAGGCAGCGGAUAAACAAUGAGCCACAUAACGUCUGGUGGUGAAAUGAUUUCCAUCAAUGGGAGGGUGUCAUAUUUGAACUGAAACUCUAAAUGACAAGAAACACCUAUGACUACAAAGAUGGGGAGGAGGCAGGGCUUUCUGGAGAGCAGAAAUGGCAGGUGCAAAGGUCCUGGGGCCGGUGCUGUGGGCUGGAGGGAAGGCAGGGGCCAAAUAUUCAGGUCUUGUAGGCCAAGGCAAGGAGUUUAGGUAUUAUUUAAAUGUUAUUCCAAACCAAUUCUUUUUGAGACAGGGUCCCACUCUGUCACCCAAGCUACAGUGCAGUGGCACAAUCUCGGUUCACUGCAGCCUUCACCUUCUGGCCUCAGGCAAUCCUCCUGCCUCAGCCUCUCAAGUAGCUGGGACCACAGGUGCAUGCCACCACGCCCAGCUAAUUUUUCAAACUAUUUGUAGAGACCAGGUCUCCCUAUGUUGCCCAGGCUGGUCUCAAACUGCUGGGCUCAAGCAGUCUUCCCACCUUGGCUUCCCAAAGUGCUGAGAUUACAGGUGUGAACCACCACGCCUGGUCCAAAAAGAAUUUUAAACCUGGGAAUUAUAUGAUCUAAUUUACUUCUUUAAAAAGUCACCCCUCCACUCCAUGGAAAAUGGACUGCAGGAGUAGAAGCCAGCAGACAGGUGGCACUGCAGGAAACCGGGGGACAUGAUGGUGGCUCAGAUUACAGGGGCUACUCAGCAAGAAGCGGAAGGACUUCAGAGAGAUUUGGAGGCAAAACCCACAGGCUUACUGAUGAAUGGAACCGGUGGAGGUGUGUGAUGCGAUACUCAAAGGCAAGUCUCAGUGUGGAGAUGGAACCGCUGCUCUGCUGAGAUGCAGAGGGCCAGGGAGGAGGCCAGCUUAGAAACAGCAUCGAAUGCGGCAGCUUAGUGAAUUGGAUAAGCCAGCAAGCUUGAGAUAGAUGUUUGGGGACAGCUGCUUGGAGAGCUUUGUCCAGGGGCGCGGCUCCCGUCCAUCUGGUCAAGUGUGGACACGCUCCCGCUGGGCUUGGGGCAGCUCCUAUCUAGGCAGCCUGUCCCAUGCUGACAUUGCAGACGUGGGAGCUACACAAAGAGAAUCUUGCAGUUUGUAGGUGAGCUACCUCCACAGGGGUUUUCUCAGAGACCAGAGUUUCAAGUGCAUCACGGCUGCCCAAAACUGCUGAGGUUGCAAGGCCCCAGAAGGAAGCCCUCCUGCACCCUCCCCUCCCACCUCCAGGGAGGAGCUGGCCUGGGAAGAAGUCUACUCUAUGUGGAAAGGCUUUCCAGGAAGCCAGUCCAACUUCAGGCCACUUAAGUUUAUUUUUUGUGUAAAAUAAGUCCAUUAUUCAAAUGUGGAGAUGGGAGGUCUGAAAAUAUAGGACAAUUCAACUCAAAGCCCUCAUUCUGAAAAUGAUGAGCUGGGGGGCCCAGCACGGCUAGGGUCAGCUCUGAUGAGCAGGGUCUGGCUGGAUUCAGAGCAAAUUAGGUCCCGCUGCUGCCCAGCCUACCACCUCGGGGAAGGCCAAGGGUUGGGGGGAGCCUUUUGUAUAAACAAGCAAUGAGAAGAAAACACUCACUAGAUCACAGUGCACUCCCAGGCGAUAAACGAAACCGGACUUUCCAAAGCCCUGGCGCUUUUGAUCAGGCACUGGCUGGAGUCCCCCUGGGAGGGCCCUUGGCUGUGCUAUCAGCAACCAGGCCUGACUGAGCAGUGACUCAGCCAGGAGAGCUGAGGCGAUCCCCCUGGCCAAUCCCAGGACCUAGCUGCACUCGGAAGAGGAGAAGGAACUCCAGGGAUGAGUAAUCUUGCUCUAGCUGACUGGAGGAGGAAGGAGGGGCUGAGUAAUGCCUUAGCAAAGCCAGCACAAGCAUCCUGAUUCUAGAGGCUCAGUUUCACAAUCCAGGAAAUGGGCUGCAGGUGCACAUGACACAGAUCUGCUUUGAGGAUGAAAAAGGCAUCAUGGGAAGCUGCUGUCACAGUUGUGGGGUUGGAAGAUUUUUCAAUUCUAAAACCCCAUAAGUUGAGGAGUGGCCAUUCCCAGAAGGAUCUGUUCACUGCUGAGCCCAGCUGGUGACAGUAGCUGUUGUAUCCCGAGAACUCUGAAGUUGUCCAGAUCAACCACCUACACAGGCCCAGAAUACCUGGGGCAAGGUAGGCGGGAAGAAUGAGCAUCCCUCUUCACGGGUGCCCUGCGAGCUACUGUAGGAAGGAGAAACACUGGCUGAUCCCCCAGGACUCUGAGCAUGGUUAGCUCUGUAACUGCCCGGGCAGAAAGGAUCCCAAAGAGAGGACAAUGAAUUCUUCCCCUAGAGGUGCAGACUUUUAUCCCUGGCACCAGUGCCUGGGGCUCCGGGGAAGGGAGGGCAUCUCCUCGGGGUCUAAGGCCACUCCUUGGUUGGGGGCCCCUCACGAGGUGACUUUGUCCUGCGCACUCUCUUAAGAACCAGGUGGGAACCAGGGGCCACCUGGUGCCGCUUCACUACCUUGGUGGCAGGGAACAGAGCAGCCUGGGAAUCCACCCAAGGUGGAAUGGGGCCCCCUGGGUGCUGUGGCUGGCUGAGCAGGGAAGUUUCAUGGGGAAGAGGCAGGUGUAAAAGGUUCUGGGUUCCGCAGGGAGAGGACAGUGAUCCUCGGAGAGCAAACAGCUGGAACCAAAGCACAGAAGGUUUUGACGGUCACCCGGGCUAUCCAGAGGCCCACUUCACAGUUAGGGCAGGGCCUGCAGAUUAGAGUUGAGGCACAGGAAGUGGCAGAGUGAUAAAGGCUGACAGCUGGACACACAGGAGCAUCUUGGAGGCCCUAGGCUGAGCACUGGGGGCUACAAAGGGGAGCAGACCAGACACAGUGUCUGUCCUCAGGGAGUGCACAGUCUGGGUUGUGAUCGCGUAAAAACUGUCACAGUGCUUCAGGCCGCUGUGAACUGAAGGGCCGUGCACUGAUGCAGGAUUUGACCUGCCCUGUCCCCAAGCAAGAGGAUUCACCUGACCUUGGUGGCCUAAGCAGGCACCGACCUAGGCAAAUCUAGGCCAGGUGUCAAGGAGCAGAAUGAACCACGGGCCAGCCAGCAGCACAUGCACAGCAGUCAGGCACGCACAGGUGCUUGAAAGAAGGCCGUGGCUGGCCGCUGGUGGGCGGGGGAGCUCGGGAGCUCACAGCAAGCCCCAUGCCUGUCUCCCACUGGAUGAAGCCAGAGGGGGUCUGGAACGCCCUUUCUCCUCUGGUCAGAUUGGGAACAAUUCAUAAUGAGCGGGGCUAAGACACAGAACAGCAGAGAGGCAGGAAAGAAGAAAGAGACCAAGGUGCGAGGAGCGGACAGGGAAAGAGACCUCAACAUGACCAGGGAUGGGAGGAGAGAACUCCAUUACUUAGAAACAGUGGCUGCUAUGCUGGGAAGUGUGGACUGUUACAGUGGGCUCUAAUUCCAGGAGGAACAAAAAGACCCCGCAUAUCACCAUGAGUCAGUCCUCUGAGUCGCCAUGACCCAUGACCUUGCUAAACAAGUGUGGGGCUGUCACAGCCUUAAGCAGCACAUCUCAAGUCUCACAUUCUCCAGUGCUAAGAAAACAGCUACACAGACAGAAUGCUAAGGAGAGCUCAGAAGUAGAAAACCCUUAAGAGUCCCCCCUUCCUUAGAUAGGAAAACUGAGGCCCAGAGAGGCAAACAAUGGGUCAGUAUGUGUGUCUAAACUUAUCUAAACAUAGAAGAGGUAUAGUAAAAAUACGGUAUUAGAAUCUGAUGGGAGCACCAUCGUAUACGCAGUCUGUAGUUGACCAGAACAUUGGUAUGCGGCACAUGACUGUAGAUCUUCUCAUUAAUAAUAGGCAACCUGGUCAGGUGCACGAAGUCUAGGGUUCAGAAUCCAACAGGCUCAAAUUCAAGUCCAGCUCAGCCACGUGGCUGAGUGCUGUCUGAACCUCAGCGUCCUCAGCUGUUAAACAGAGUUACGCAGUUCUUUUCCUUGCAGUUGCCAAACAAUAUUAUUUAUCUAAUGGUCAUAACACCUUAACAGUAAUAGAACUACUGAACAGCAGUGCUUACUCUGCUCAUGGAUGAGGUUUCUAGUUGUCUUCUGUUAAGCAGGUGGCCUUGAAUUCUGGCAGCUCACGCUUCAGAGUUACCUGUGGACACACGACAUCAUUCACAAAAUGUUCUUUUUCUCUCCAGUGUCUCUCGAGAAUGAAAAUGACCAGGCCAUCCUCACAUUCUACAGAGGUUAACCCAGCAACUUAGGGACACAGCUGGGGCAGGACUCCCGGGCUCCUGGUCAGUCCCUCUAUGGGGAUGCUAAGCCUCAGGGCUGACAUCUCUUAGCUCUGCCUUCCAGGGAGAAUUUCACAGGGCCUCCCAUUUGUGCUGCUGUGAAGGCCGUCCUGCUCCUUGUCAAGCCUGUCUUCUCCGUGGCUUGAGGAAGAUCUCUUUCGUGCCCAAAUUGUGAAUAAGUAAACUGGAUGCAGCAUCUCUGAUUGCUCUGGGAAGAAAUUUAUGAGAAGUGCCUGAGAAAAGUCAUGAUUUUAUGCCUCUGCUAAGCAACCUGUUGGACACUGCUUGGUAUCUACAGCUAAGUGGUUCCCUGUUCAGACCUGCUUCCUCUGAUUAGCAGCCACAGAUCUUCUGGGUUUUCACUUGUUUAUUUCUGUUUAUUGUCAUCUCUGGGAAGAUGGCUUCAAAUUUUUUAUCCCCCAAUUAUUUAACCCCAUAUCAAUUGAUAAGAAGAUCUUUUCUUUCUUUCUUUCUUUCUUUCUUUUCUUUUCUUUCUUUCUUCCUUUUUUUUUUUUUUUUUUUCGAGAUAGAGCCUCACUGUGUCACCCAGGCUGGAGUGCAGUGGGGUGAUCUUGGCUCACUGCAACCUCCACCUACCAGGUUCAAGCAAUCCUCCUGCCACAGCCUCCCAAGUAGCUGGGAUUACAGAUGAGUCCCACCACACCCAGCUAAUUUUUGUAUUUUUUUUUAUAGAGACAGGGUUUCGCCAUGUUGCUUAGGCUUGUCUGGAACUCCUGAGCUCAAAUGAUCUGCCUGCUUCGACCUCGCAAAGUGCGGGGAAGUUAUAAUUGAAGGGUGUGAUGGUUAAUUUUUGGUGUCAACUUGACUGGGUUAAGGGAUACCCAGAUAGCUGGUACAGCAUUGUCUCUGGGGAUGUCUUUGAGUGUGUUUCUGGUAGAGGUUGGCAUUUGGAUCAGUGAACUGAGUGAGGAAGGAAGAUUCAUCCUCACCUGUGUGGGCUGGGCUCCAUCCAAUCAGUUGAAUUCCUCAAUAGAACAAAAGGGCUGAGGAAAGGCAAAUUCACUCCCUUUUCUGAAGCUGGGACACCCUCCUUCUCCCGCGCUUGGACAUCAGCACUCCAGGGUCUCCAGCCGUCGGACUCCAGGACCUGCACCGAUGGCCCCUCAGGUUCUCAGGCCUUUGCACUCAGACUGAGCUAUGUCACCAGCUUCCCUGGUUCUCUAGCUUGUAGACAGCAAAUCAUAGGACUUCUCAGCCUCCAUAAUCAUGUGAGCCAAUUUCCAAAUUAAAUCCCCUCUCAUUUAUCUAUAUCUCUAUCUAUCUUAUUUGGUUGUUUCUCUGGAGAAUCCUGAUACAAAGGGUUUACAUUGAAUGUCAUUCGCAUAUGGUUAUAUAAAUAGUAGCCGUUUUAACACCCUCAUCUAAUUCUAUCAUGAAUGUCAUUUCUGGAUCUGUUUAUAUUGAUUGAUUUUUCUCCAGAUCCUAGGUCAUAUUAUCCUGCUUCUUUGCAAGCCCAGUAUUUUUGUUUGGACACGGGACAUUGUCAGUUUUGUACUGUUGGUGGCUAGAUUUUAUUAUAUUCCUUUAAACAGUGUUGUGCUUUGUUCUGAGAUGCAGUAAAGUUACUUACGAUUAGUUUGAUCUUUUUGAGCCUUGAUGUUCAACAUUGUUACGGCAGAUCCAGAACAGCCUUUGUUUUAGGACUAAUUUGUCACCUCUUUGAGGCAAUUCUCUUCUACUUUUCUCCUCGAUGUCCUGAAUUUUAGGGGGUCUUCCCAGUCUGGCUGAUGGAAAUGUAGUUUUUGUUGCAUAAAAUUUACCUCAAAACUUAGCAGCUUGAAUCAACAGGUAUUUAUUCCCUGCAGUUUCUUGUGUCAGGAAUCCAGGAGUGGCCCAGCUGGUGGCUCUAACUCAAGCUCUCUCGUGAGGUCGCAGUCAAGGUGAUGGCUGGAUUGGAGCCCUCUGACUGGGGCCAAAGGAUCUGCCUCCAGGACGGUGACUCACAUGGCUGUAGCCAGGGGCUCCAUUUCUUGCCUCAUGGACCUGUCCGGAGGCUGAUUGAGCAAUACAGCUUCUGGCUUUCCCCCAGAGGGGCUGACCCAAGAGAGAGCAAGCAGGAGCCACAAGGCUUUCUACACCCUAGUCUCUAAAGUCACAAACCAUCAUCGUCACUUUCACCACAUUCUGUCCUUUAGAAACAUAUUAGUAAGCCCAGCCCACAUUCAAGGGAGGUAGGUGUAGGCGCCUCUUUUUGAAAGGAAGACUAUCAGAUAAUUUAGGGAUCUAUUUCUAAGCUGCUCUCACAGACACACAAUAUCCCCAGGCCUGAGUGAUUUCUGGAGAUCGUUCUGCCUGCAAGCUCCUUCCUUGGUGGUUUCCUCACAUUCAUGUGCAGACCAGUACUCAGCUGAAGACUCAAGGCACUCCUUGCAGAUCUCUGAACCAUUCUCUGUGGCUCCUUCUUCUGCAGAUCUCUGCCCUGCAAAUUCUAGCUCCCUUGGCCUCCCGGAAGCCCACACUCCAUCUCCUGAGCUGGGCAGGCCCUCAGGCUCUGUUUGGGCUCCCUCUCCUGGCACUGCUGAGGUGGACACUUGUGAGGCUGCUCUUAUUGCUUCCCCUCUCCCAGGAAUCCCUGUCCUGUUCUGCCUAUUGUCCAGUGUCCACUAACUGUUGUUUCACAUACUUGUCCAGCUUUCCGGCUGUUUUUAAGACAGGAGGGUAAACCUGCUCCCUGUUAUUCCAUCAGGACCAGAAGUGGGACUCCCCAGCAGCGGUGCUGGCUCCUGAAAAUGAGUCAGCGGCCAUGUAGCAGAGGGGAGACUGACACCCUCCCCUCUUCUUCUUCUUUUUUUUUUUUUUUAAUUAUACCUUAAGUUGUGGGAUACAUGUGCAGAACGUGCGGGUUUGUUAUAUAGGUAUACACAUGCCAUGGUGAUUUGCUGCACCCAUCAACUCAUCAUCUACAUUAGGUGUUUCUCCUAAUGCUAUCCCUCCCCUAGCCCCCCACUCCCCAACAGGCCCCAGUGUGUGAUGUUCCCCUCCCUGUGUCCAUGUGUUCUCAUUAUUCAACUCCCACUUAUGAGUGAGAACAUGCGGUGUUUGGUUUUCCGUUCCUGUGUUAGUUUGCUGAGAAUGAUGGCUUCCAGCUUCAUCCAUGCCCCUACAAAGGACAUGACCUCAUCUUUUUUAUGGCUGCAUAGUAUUCCAUGGUGUAUAUGUGCCACUUUUUCUUUAUCCAGUCCAUCAUUGAUGGGCAUUUGGGUUGGUUCCAAGUCUUUGCUAUUGUAAAUAGUGCUGCAAUAAACAUACAUAUGCAUGUGUCUUUAUAGUAGAAUGAUUUAUAAUCCUUUGGGUAUAUACCCAGUAAUGGGAUUGCUGGGUCAAAUGGUAUUUCUGGUUCUAGAUCCUUUAGGAAUCGCUACACUGUCUUCCACAAUGGUUGAACUAAUUUACACACCCACCAACAGUGUAAAAGUGUUCCUAUUUCUCCACAUCCUCUCCAG